CAAAUUGAGGCAAAACAAAAAAAAGAGAAAAAAUAACACACAAGAGGUUUGAGGUCAUCCCCACCUAAUAAAGGAAAAAUAAAAGUGAAAAUAAAGUGCUAUUUGUGCUUCCUCGAGUUACUUCGUCUUUGGCCUUCCUUUAGAUUCACUUUGGGGCAUACCCCUGAAAUAAAAUACAUACAAAUCCUUCGGGGCAUUCCCUGGAUAAAUUUAACUAAAGGGGGCGACCUCUCGCCUCGAAACCAAAAGCAAAUGAAAAAUUCUAAGAUUGCCUACCCAAGUGUGGUCGGCCAUAGCAUGCUACUAGAGGUUAGAGCAAUAAAAUAAAACUAAACAACGUGUUAUUGUUCUAAUUUUUCUUUCAAGUUAUACGUCCAAC
This 379-nucleotide long non-coding RNA is filed under the name Nicotiana benthamiana. Its description in RNAcentral is "long non-coding RNA (NBEN_LNC025348)". Lineage: Eukaryota; Viridiplantae; Streptophyta; Magnoliopsida; Solanales; Solanaceae. The record is from RNAcentral.